RNAcentral lists this transfer RNA (77 nucleotides) under bacterium. Its description in RNAcentral is "tRNA-Arg". It matches the Rfam family "tRNA". From Rfam's summary of the family: Transfer RNA (tRNA) molecules are approximately 80 nucleotides in length. Their secondary structure includes four short double-helical elements and three loops (D, anti-codon, and T loops). Further hydrogen bonds mediate the characteristic L-shaped molecular structure. tRNAs have two regions of fundamental functional importance: the anti-codon, which is responsible for specific mRNA codon recognition, and the 3' end, to which the tRNAs corresponding amino acid is attached (by aminoacyl-tRNA synthetases). tRNAs cope with the degeneracy of the genetic code in two manners: having more than one tRNA (with a specific anti-codon) for a particular amino acid; and 'wobble' base-pairing, i.e. permitting non-standard base-pairing at the 3rd anti-codon position. The record is from RNAcentral.
GCGGAUGUAGUUCAACUGGAUAGAACACCUGACUACGGAUCAGGCGGUUCCGGGUUCGAACCCUGGCAUCCGCACCA